Transfer RNA from Trichoderma harzianum, 81 nucleotides. It matches the Rfam family "tRNA". From Rfam's summary of the family: Transfer RNA (tRNA) molecules are approximately 80 nucleotides in length. Their secondary structure includes four short double-helical elements and three loops (D, anti-codon, and T loops). NCBI's taxonomy places the organism in Eukaryota, Fungi, Ascomycota, Sordariomycetes, Hypocreales, Hypocreaceae. The record is from Rfam.
GGCAAGGUGCCAGAGUGGUUAAUGGGUAUGACUCGAAAUCAUAUGGCUUCGGCCGCACAGGUUCGAAUCCUGUUCUUGUCG